CCAAUCAUUAGUUGUUGCUGCCAGG
This 25-nucleotide non-coding RNA is filed under the name Mus musculus (house mouse). The record is from RNAcentral. Lineage: Eukaryota; Metazoa; Chordata; Mammalia; Rodentia; Muridae.